CAGUAAGGUCCUAAACAAACGAGUCAGCCCCGUUAACCGGGCCAGCUCGGCAUCAUGUAAUCAGCACCUUAGAAAAGCUCUUGGAGGACUUGGAGAAGCUGUUGCAUUUUCUGGAAAAUUUUCUGGCAGAAUUCAAGGAAAUUUUAGGAAAAGGAAUUUGAUUGUGGAAACACAACCACAUUUUAAAAAUAAUAAAAAAUGAAAAGAAUGAAAAGCUAAAAAAUGGCGGCAAGAUUGAAGAUGAUUGGUAAAUUCACUAUUUUAUAAAAUAUUCAAACGAGUUAUAAAGGAACAGUUUCAUUUCUUACUGAGUAUAACCUUACCUUAUUUUAAAAUAACCGGAAGUUUCUUUUUUCAUGUAGAUAUUGGAGCUAAUUUAAGUGGUAAGCAAUUAUUUAAUAAUGUAAGCAAUUCAGAAGUUGGAACUGAAGAAAUCUAUUGUCAAAAAAUGAUGUAACCCAGGGCAUAGGCAGUCCAAAAAGCUGUGUAGAAUGCAUGUGUGCCGCAAGCACUCAAUGAAAAGUCACACAUUUUUGGGCUGCUAUGCCCAGGGGUAAGAGAGGAGAGGUCAGACAAAAACAGGGAACUUGACCUCGUACCUUGCCCCGGGUCUCAGAAUUUUGACAGCCACUAACAGACCAAGAGUGUAGAAUUUUUAAAUGUUUUGGGCCACCAUGUUGUAACAAGUUGUGAAAGCCUGGUGACCAAGAGGUCCAAGAACUUCCACUUGCGGCGAUUGUUUCCUGGAAAAGGUGAAAGUGUACAUCACAAGGAGUAAAUGGAAAAUAAAAAGAAAUAAAGGGAAUAACGGUAUUUGGGAAGGAAAAUAUAAGGAUAUUUUACAGUCAAAUCCAGUGUUCCAUUGCCAGGAAUAUUGCAAUAUUAUCACACAAUCUUGCAAUAUUGAUCGGCUGAUUGCUCUAGCAAAUUGCAACCGGCCGACACAGACAAAUUGCAAUUUUUACGUGUUGACAAUUUGUCGAUGCCAAGCAUUUGAUUGGCUUGUUUUGUACUAGUAGCCAAUCAGGCUUUAGUUACAAACUUAUGAAAUUUUCAAUUUUGCAGUUGAUGGUUUUUAAAAAAAUUAUAC
Non-coding RNA from Paramuricea clavata, 1090 nucleotides. The record is from the annotation of a GenBank genome assembly. Lineage: Eukaryota; Metazoa; Cnidaria; Anthozoa; Malacalcyonacea; Plexauridae.